RNAcentral lists this ribosomal RNA (403 nucleotides) under Bacteroidota bacterium. Its description in RNAcentral is "Bacteroidetes bacterium partial 16S ribosomal RNA". It matches the Rfam family "Bacterial small subunit ribosomal RNA", at positions 355 to 776 of the family's 1533-position model. The record is from RNAcentral. Lineage: Bacteria; Pseudomonadati; Bacteroidota.
UGGGGAAUAUUGCACAAUGGAGGGAACUCUGAUGCAGCGACGCCGCGUGAACGAAGAAGGCUUUCGAGUCGUAAAGUUCUUUUAUAUGGGAAGAUAAUGACGGUACCAUAAGAAAAAGCCCCGGCUAACUACGUGCCAGCAGCCGCGGUAAUACGUAGGGGGCUAGCGUUGUCCGGAAUCACUGGGCGUAAAGCGAGCGCAGGCGGUUAGAUAAGUCUGAAGUUAAAGGCAGUGGCUCAACCAUUGUAGGCUUUGGAAACUGUUUAACUUGAGUGCAGAAGGGGAGAGUGGAAUUCCAUGUGUAGCGGUGAAAUGCGUAGAUAUAUGGAGGAACACCGGUGGCGAAAGCGGCUCUCUGGUCUGUAACUGACGCUGAGGCUCGAAAGCGUGGGGAGCGAACAGG